AUGGCAGAGGUGCAGGUCCUGGUGCUCGAUGGUCAAGGCCAUCUCCUGGGCCGCCUGGCGGCCAUCGUGGCUAAGUAGUUACUGCUGGGCCGGAAGGUGGUAGUCGUACGCUGCGAGGGCAUCAACAUCUCUGGCAAUUUCUACAGAAACAAGUUGAAGAAUCUGGCUUUCCUCGGCAAGCGGAUGAACACCAACCCUUUUCGAAGCGCCUACCACUUCCGGGCCCCCAGCCGCAUCUUCUGGCCGACAGUGCGAGGCAUACAUGCUGCGCCACAAGACCAAGCGAGGCCAUGCCUCCCUGGACUGCCUCAAGGUGUUUGACGGCAUCCCACCGCCCUACGAUAAGAAAAAGCGGAUGGUGGUUCCUGCUGCCCUCAAGGUCGUGCGUCUGAAGCCUACAAGAAAGUUUGCCCUUCUGGGGCGACAGGCUCAAGAGGUUAGGUGGAAGUACCAGGCAGUGACAGCCACCCUGGAGGAGAAGAGGAAGGAGAAAGCCAAGAUCCACUACUGGAAGAAGAAACAGCUCAUGAGGCUACGGAAACAGGCCGAGAAGAACGUGAAGAAAAACUGACAAAUACACAGAGGUCCUCAAGACCCACGGACUCCUGGUCUGA
Molecule: long non-coding RNA, 614 nt
Filed under: Homo sapiens (human)
Lineage: Eukaryota; Metazoa; Chordata; Mammalia; Primates; Hominidae
Description: non-protein coding lnc-KTN1-4:1
Source: RNAcentral